GGGCAGCUAGCUCAAUGGCAGAGUACAUGCAUCACACGCAUGGGGUUACAGGUCCGAGUCCUGUGCUGCCCA
RNAcentral lists this transfer RNA (72 nucleotides) under Candidatus Nealsonbacteria bacterium CG09_land_8_20_14_0_10_42_14. RNAcentral describes it as "tRNA-Val". It matches the Rfam family "tRNA". From Rfam's summary of the family: Transfer RNA (tRNA) molecules are approximately 80 nucleotides in length. Lineage: Bacteria; Candidatus Nealsoniibacteriota. The record is from RNAcentral.